GAUGAACGCUGGCGGCGUGCCUAAUACAUGCAAGUCGAGCGAACAGACGAGGAGCUUGCUCCUCUGACGUUAGCGGCGGACGGGUGAGUAACACGUGGAUAACCUACCUAUAAGACUGGGAUAACUUCGGGAAACCGGAGCUAAUACCGGAUAAUAUAUUGAACCGCAUGGUUCAAUAGUGAAAGACGGUUUUGCUGUCACUUAUAGAUGGAUCCGCGCCGCAUUAGCUAGUUGGUAAGGUAACGGCUUACCAAGGCAACGAUGCGUAGCCGACCUGAGAGGGUGAUCGGCCACACUAGAACUGAGACACGGUCCUGACUCCUACGGGAGGCAGCAGUAGGGAAUCUUCCGCAAUGGGCGAAAGCCUGACGGAGCAACGCCGCGUGAGUGAUGAAGGUCUUCGGAUCGUAAAACUCUGUUAUUAGGGAAGAACAAAUGUGUAAGUAACUAUGCACGUCUUGACGGUACCUAAUCAGAAAGCCACGGCUAAAUACGUG
Molecule: ribosomal RNA, 497 nt
Filed under: uncultured bacterium
Lineage: Bacteria
Description: partial 16S ribosomal RNA
Rfam family: Bacterial small subunit ribosomal RNA
Source: RNAcentral